UGGGAUUUAAUGGGGUAUAAUGCUGGUCUGUAGGGUGAGGCCAUCAAUCGCAUUGAGCAGCACAUCCUGCAGUCGGGGACGGCCGUGAUGAAGGGACAGCGACAACUGAGGGACGCACAAGGACAGCAGGGCAAGGCCAGGAGGAAGCGGCUCAUCAUGGCGUCCUGCCUCGUCCUCACCGUCCUCAUCCUCGUCGCCAUCAUCGCCUCCUCCGUGGCCGCUGGAUGAUGAUUGGCCGGCGCCCAGCCCUCCUCGAUGCUGAUUGGACGAUGCCGUGCCUUAAGCCCACCCUCCUCGAUGCUGAUUGGACAAUGCCAUGCCUUAAGCCCGCCCUGCUCGAUGCUGAUUGGACGGUGCACUUGGCUGGGCACUUCCUGACACUACUUGACGUCACUUCCUGUCUUUAAUGGCGUCACUUCCUGGUUCUAGUGAUGUCACUUCCUGUCUCUGCUGAUGUCACUUCCUGCUGCUACUGAUGGCACUUCCUGCUUCUAGUGACGUCA
Non-coding RNA from Coturnix japonica (Japanese quail), 503 nucleotides. NCBI's taxonomy places the organism in Eukaryota, Metazoa, Chordata, Aves, Galliformes, Phasianidae. The record is from RefSeq and is a predicted model, not a curated record.